UUCAUGGAGAGUUUGAUCUUGGCUCAGGACGAACGCUGGCGGCGUGCCUAAUACAUGCAAGUCGAGCGCAGGAAACCAGAUGACCCCUCCGGGGUGAUUCUGGCGGAAUGAGCGGCGGACGGGUGAGUAACACGUGGGCAACCUGCCUGUAAGACUGGGAUAACUCCGGGAAAC
Molecule: ribosomal RNA, 174 nt
Filed under: Terribacillus sp. 7520-G
Lineage: Bacteria; Bacillati; Bacillota; Bacilli; Caryophanales; Bacillaceae
Description: partial 16S ribosomal RNA
Rfam family: Bacterial small subunit ribosomal RNA
Source: RNAcentral